CCUACGGGAGGCAGCAGUAGGGAAUUUUCGGCAAUGGGGGGAACCCUGACCGAGCAACGCCGCGUGAACGAAGAAGUUAUUCGUAAUGUAAAGUUCUUUUAACAGGGAAGAAAGAGAAAUUGGACGUUACCUUAAGAAUAAGCUCCGGCAAACUACGUGCCAGCAGCCGCGGUAAUACGUAGGGAGCGAGCGUUAUCGGGAUUUAUUGGGGGAAAAGGGUGUGUAGAUGGCAUAGUAAGUCUUUUGUAAAAAUGCUGGGCUAAACCCAGUAGGGCAAAAGAUACUGCAAAGCUAGAGUAUGACAGAGGCAAGUGGAACUACAUGUGUAGCGGUAAAAUGCGUAAAUAUAUGUAAGAACACCAGUGGCGAAGGCGGCUUGCUGGGUCGAUACUGACAUUGAGGCACGAAAGCGUGGGGAGCAAACAGGAUGAGAUACCCGGGUAGUC
Molecule: ribosomal RNA, 446 nt
Filed under: uncultured bacterium
Lineage: Bacteria
Description: partial 16S ribosomal RNA
Rfam family: Bacterial small subunit ribosomal RNA
Source: RNAcentral